GGGGAAUAUUGGACAAUGGGCGAAAGCCUGAUCCAGCCAUGCCGCGUGUGUGAAGAAGGUCUUCGGAUUGUAAAGCACUUUAAGUUGGGAGGAAGGGUUGUAGAUUAAUACUCUGCAAUUUUGACGUUACCGACAGAAUAAGCAACGGCUAAACUCGUGCCAGCAGCCGCGGUAAUACGAAGGGUGCAAGCGUUAAUCGGAAUUACUGGGCGUAAAGCGCGCGUAGGUGGUUCGUUAAGUUGGAUGUGAAAGCCCCGGGCUCAACCUGGGAACUGCAUCCAAAACUGGCGAGCUAGAGUACGGUAGAGGCUGGUGGAAUUUCCUGUGUACCGGUGAAAUGCGUAGAUAUAGGAAGGAACACCAGUGGCGAAGGCGACCACCUGGGCUAAUACUGACACUGCGGUGCGAAAGCAUGGGGAGCAAACA
This 426-nucleotide ribosomal RNA is filed under the name uncultured Pseudomonadaceae bacterium. RNAcentral's name for it is "bacterial SSU rRNA". It matches the Rfam family "Bacterial small subunit ribosomal RNA", at positions 356 to 774 of the family's 1533-position model. The record is from RNAcentral. Lineage: Bacteria; Pseudomonadati; Pseudomonadota; Gammaproteobacteria; Pseudomonadales; Pseudomonadaceae.